RNAcentral lists this ribosomal RNA (253 nucleotides) under uncultured bacterium. RNAcentral's name for it is "partial 16S ribosomal RNA". It matches the Rfam family "Bacterial small subunit ribosomal RNA", at positions 524 to 776 of the family's 1533-position model. The record is from RNAcentral.
UACAGAGGGGGCGAGCGUUGUUCGGAAUUACUGGGCGUAAAGGGCUCGUAGGCGGCCAACUAAGUCAGACGUGAAAUCCCUCGGCUUAACCGGGGAACUGCAUCUGAUACUGGAUGGCUUGAGUUCGGGAGAAGGAUGUGGAAUUCCAGGUGUAGCGGUGAAAUGCGUAGAUAUCUGGAGGAACACCGGUGGCGAAGGCGGCAUCCUGGACCGACACUGACGCUGAGGAGCGAAAGCCAGGGGAGCAAACGGG